RNAcentral lists this transfer RNA (76 nucleotides) under Dolichoderus sibiricus. RNAcentral describes it as "tRNA-Val". Lineage: Eukaryota; Metazoa; Arthropoda; Insecta; Hymenoptera; Formicidae. The record is from RNAcentral.
AAAAAUCUUAGUUUAAUAAAAAUAUUUCAUUUACAUUGAAAAGUUUAUUAGUAUUAGUGUGAUUAAUAAGAUUUUA